This 433-nucleotide ribosomal RNA is filed under the name uncultured bacterium. Its description in RNAcentral is "partial 16S ribosomal RNA". It matches the Rfam family "Bacterial small subunit ribosomal RNA", at positions 29 to 507 of the family's 1533-position model. The record is from RNAcentral.
AACGAACGCUGGCGGCAUGCCUAACACAUGCGAGUCGAACGAGACCUUCGGGUCUAGUGGCGCACGGGUGCGUAACGCGUGGGAACCUGCCCUUAGGUCCGGAAUAACUCCCCGGAAGGGGUGCUAAUACCGGAUAAUGUCUUCGGACCAAAGAUUUAUCGCCUUUGGAUGGGCCCGCGUUGGAUUAGCUAGUUGGUAGGGUAAAAGCCUACCAAGGCGACGAUCCAUAGCUGGUCUGAGAGGAUGAUCAGCCACACUGGGACUGAGACACGGCCCAGACUCCUACGGGAGGCAGCAGUGGGGAAUAUUGGACAAUGGGCGAAAGCCUGAUCCAGCAAUGCCGCGUGAGUGAUGAAGGCCUUAGGGUUGUAAAGCUCUUUUACCCGGGAUGAUAAUGACAGUACCGGGAGAAUAAGCUCCGGCUAACUCCGUG